UGCUCCGUCGUCUAGCGGCAAGACACCCGGCUCUGGACCGGACGACCGAGGUUCGAAUCCUUGCGGAGCAG
This 71-nucleotide transfer RNA is filed under the name Corynebacterium kalidii. RNAcentral's name for it is "tRNA-Gln". It matches the Rfam family "tRNA". From Rfam's summary of the family: Transfer RNA (tRNA) molecules are approximately 80 nucleotides in length. Their secondary structure includes four short double-helical elements and three loops (D, anti-codon, and T loops). Further hydrogen bonds mediate the characteristic L-shaped molecular structure. tRNAs have two regions of fundamental functional importance: the anti-codon, which is responsible for specific mRNA codon recognition, and the 3' end, to which the tRNAs corresponding amino acid is attached (by aminoacyl-tRNA synthetases). tRNAs cope with the degeneracy of the genetic code in two manners: having more than one tRNA (with a specific anti-codon) for a particular amino acid; and 'wobble' base-pairing, i.e. permitting non-standard base-pairing at the 3rd anti-codon position. The record is from RNAcentral. Lineage: Bacteria; Bacillati; Actinomycetota; Actinomycetes; Mycobacteriales; Corynebacteriaceae.